Molecule: ribosomal RNA, 464 nt
Filed under: uncultured bacterium
Lineage: Bacteria
Description: partial 16S ribosomal RNA
Rfam family: Bacterial small subunit ribosomal RNA
Source: RNAcentral
GACGAACGCUGGCGGCGUGCUUAACACAUGCAAGUCGAACGGAAAGGCCCUGCUUGCAGGGUACUCGAGUGGCGAACGGGUGAGUAACACGUGGGUGAUCUGCCCUGCACUUCGGGAUAAGCUUGGGAAACUGGGUCUAAUACCGGAUAGGACCGCACUUUAGUGUGUGUGGUGGAAAGUCUUUUCGGUGUAGGAUGAGCUCGCGGCCUAUCAGCUUGUUGGUGGGGUAAUGGCCUACCAAGGCGGCGACGGGUAGCCGGCCUGAGAGGGUGUACGGCCACAUUGGGACUGAGAUACGGCCCAGACUCCUACGGGAGGCAGAAGUGGGGAAUAUUGCACAAUGGGCGCAAGCCUGAUGCAGCGACGCCGCGUGGGGGAUGAAGGCCUUCGGGUUGUAAACUCCUUUCGCUAGGGACGAAGCUUUUUGUGACGGUACCUAGAUAAGAAGCACCGGCUAACUACGU